Molecule: long non-coding RNA, 881 nt
Filed under: Olea europaea subsp. europaea
Lineage: Eukaryota; Viridiplantae; Streptophyta; Magnoliopsida; Lamiales; Oleaceae
Source: RNAcentral
AUUUGCUUAACAUCACAUGGCUCUGUAUCAUCACUCAAUUCCAAGUUCGGUAAUAGUUUAAACCUGGAUUAGUAUGUGGAUUCUAACACGAAUAAAACUCUUGAGGUCGAGCGAAAUGCUACUUUUGAUGAGAAAAAACAGAAAGUGUGUGCAAAUGCCUUACAAUAUUUAUCCAAUCAUUCCUUCACAGGGAAGUUCAUGAAGAAGUAAAUCAAGCAAGGGAAAACAUGUCUCAACUAAAGAUGCGCAGACAAGAACAGAUUGCUGCUCGUCGAGAGAAAUUAAAGCAGACCUACCUCCGCAAGCAGCUCGAGAAAUUGAAAGCAUCCAAAACAGACCAAACCUAAUGCAAUGUGAAUGUCUUUGUCCUUCUUUCAAAAUUUUAUUAUAAGAAUCUCAUUAGUUUUAUCAGCACAUGCCUCUGAAAUUUUUUUCCCUCCAUAUAUCCCAACUACAGUUAAGUCAUGUAAGUUUUGGUCUAUAUAAAUUCCCUUCUGUAGUACUCGAAUUACUAUCAUCAAUGGAAGUGCCAUAUAGUAAUUUUCCGCAGAAAGUUGGUUGUUAAUCACACAAUUGAGCCUCCUUUGAAAGACUGUUUUGCCAUGCUUUUAAGGACGGGAGAGUAACAGAGAAGAAAAAGAAGUUUAAACCUUCUAACCUUAUCUAGCACUGUGUACCAAACACCCACAAUGUCAAUAAACAGUGCAUAUGCACAGGAAUUGUAGGUGAGACAAUCUGUGGACUUGAAAUGUAUUGCAUGUACACUUGGAAAAGGGGAAUAAACUGAUCAUUGGUCAAGAAUUGUGCUGUAUUUAUCUUUUUUUUUUUCCCUCAAGUUUUAGAAAUUACGCUGAUGGUUUUCGAGUUGUGCUGUUUUUUAG